RNAcentral lists this ribosomal RNA (433 nucleotides) under uncultured Glomeromycotina. RNAcentral's name for it is "SSU rRNA". It matches the Rfam family "Eukaryotic small subunit ribosomal RNA", at positions 569 to 1007 of the family's 1831-position model. Lineage: Eukaryota; Fungi; Glomeromycota. The record is from RNAcentral.
AGCAGCCGCGGUAAUUCCAGCUCCAAUAGCGUAUAUUAAAGUUGUUGCAGUUAAAAAGCUCGUAGUUGAACCUCGGGAUCAAUGGAUCGGUCAUGCCAUCGGUAUGUACUGGUCUCAUUGGUUCUCACCUUCUAAGGAACCAUGAUGUCAUUCAGUUGAUGUUGUGGGGAAUUAGGACUGUUACCUUGAAAAAUUAGAGUGUUUAAAGCAGGCUAACGCUUGAAUACAUUAGCAUGGAAUAAUGAAAUAGGACAUCGCAUUCUAUUUUGUUGGUUUCUAGGAUCGAUGUAAUGAUUAAUAGGGAUAGUUGGGGGCAUUAGUAUUCAAUUGUCAGAGGUGAAAUUCUUGGAUUUAUUGAAGACUAACUACUGCGAAAGCAUUUGCCAAGGAUGUUUUCAUUAAUCAAGAACGAAAGUUAGGGGAUCGAAGACGA